RNAcentral lists this ribosomal RNA (2384 nucleotides) under Vibrio parahaemolyticus. RNAcentral's name for it is "bacterial LSU rRNA". It matches the Rfam family "Bacterial large subunit ribosomal RNA", at positions 574 to 2925 of the family's 2925-position model. The record is from RNAcentral. Lineage: Bacteria; Pseudomonadati; Pseudomonadota; Gammaproteobacteria; Vibrionales; Vibrionaceae.
UAGGAGCACCUUCGUGGUGUGACUGCGUACCUUUUGUAUAAUGGGUCAGCGACUCUAUAUUCAGUGGCAAGGUUAACAUCUAGGGGAGCCGUAGGGAACCGAGUCUUAACUGGGCGUUCCAGUCUCUGGAUAUAGACCCGAAACCAGGGUGAUCUAGCCAUGGGCAGGUUGGAAGGUUGAGUAACAUCAACUGGAGGACCGAACCGACUAAUGUUGAAAAAUUAGCGGAUGACUUGUGGCUAGGUGAAAGGCCAAUCAAACCUGGAGAUAGCUGGUUCUCCCCGAAAGCUAUUUAGGUAGUGCCUCGGACGAAUACUACUGGGGUAGAGCACUGUUAAGGCUAGGGGGUCAUCCCGACUUACCAACCCUUUGCAAACUCCGAAUACCAGUAAGUACUAUCCGGGAGACACACGGCGGGUGCUAACGUCCGUCGUGGAGAGGGAAACAACCCAGACCGCCAGCUAAGGUCCCAAAUUACUACUAAGUGGGAAACGAUGUGGGAAGGCUCAGACAGCCAGGAUGUUGGCUUAGAAGCAGCCAUCAUUUAAAGAAAGCGUAAUAGCUCACUGGUCGAGUCGGCCUGCGCGGAAGAUGUAACGGGGCUAAGUAGUAAACCGAAGCUGCGGCAAUAUACUUUUGUAUAUUGGGUAGGGGAGCGUUCUGUAAGCGGUUGAAGGUGUGUGGUAACGCAUGCUGGACGUAUCAGAAGUGCGAAUGCUGACAUGAGUAACGAUAAAGGGGGUGAAAAACCCCCUCGCCGGAAGACCAAGGGUUCCUGUCCAACGUUAAUCGGGCAGGGUAAGUCGACCCCUAAGGCGAGGCCGAAAGGCGUAGUCGAUGGGAAACGGGUUAAUAUUCCCGUACUUCUUACAAUUGCGAUGGGGGGACGGAGAAGGCUAGGUGGGCCUGGCGACGGUUGUCCAGGUUCAAGUGCGUAGGCUUAAGAGUUAGGUAAAUCCGGCUCUUUUUAAGGCUGAGACACGACGUCGAGCACCUACGGGUGUGAAGUCAUUGAUGCCAUGCUUCCAGGAAAAGCCUCUAAGCUUCAGAUUGUAAGGAAUCGUACCCCAAACCGACACAGGUGGUCGGGUAGAGAAUACCAAGGCGCUUGAGAGAACUCGGGUGAAGGAACUAGGCAAAAUGGUACCGUAACUUCGGGAGAAGGUACGCUCUCGACGGUGAAGUCCCUUGCGGAUGGAGCUAUUGAGAGUCGCAGAUACCAGGUGGUUGCAACUGUUUAUUAAAAACACAGCACUGUGCAAAAUCGUAAGAUGACGUAUACGGUGUGACGCCUGCCCGGUGCCGGAAGGUUAAUUGAUGGGGUUAGACUUCGGUCGAAGCUCUUGAUCGAAGCCCCGGUAAACGGCGGCCGUAACUAUAACGGUCCUAAGGUAGCGAAAUUCCUUGUCGGGUAAGUUCCGACCUGCACGAAUGGCGUAAUGAUGGCCACGCUGUCUCCACCCGAGACUCAGUGAAAUUGAAAUCGCUGUGAAGAUGCAGUGUACCCGCGGCUAGACGGAAAGACCCCGUGAACCUUUACUACAGCUUGGCACUGAACAUUGACCCUACAUGUGUAGGAUAGGUGGGAGGCUUUGAAGCACGUACGCCAGUAUGUGUGGAGCCGUCCUUGAAAUACCACCCUUGUAGUGUUGAUGUUCUAACGUCGACCCCUUAUCGGGGUUGCGGACAGUGCCUGGUGGGUAGUUUGACUGGGGCGGUCUCCUCCCAAAGAGUAACGGAGGAGCACGAAGGUGGGCUAAUCACGGUUGGACAUCGUGAGGUUAGUGCAAUGGCAUAAGCCCGCUUGACUGCGAGAAUGACAAUUCGAGCAGGUGCGAAAGCAGGUCAUAGUGAUCCGGUGGUUCUGAAUGGAAGGGCCAUCGCUCAACGGAUAAAAGGUACUCCGGGGAUAACAGGCUGAUACCGCCCAAGAGUUCAUAUCGACGGCGGUGUUUGGCACCUCGAUGUCGGCUCAUCACAUCCUGGGGCUGAAGUCGGUCCCAAGGGUAUGGCUGUUCGCCAUUUAAAGUGGUACGCGAGCUGGGUUUAGAACGUCGUGAGACAGUUCGGUCCCUAUCUGCCGUGGGCGUUGGAAGAUUGAAGGGGGCUGCUCCUAGUACGAGAGGACCGGAGUGGACGAACCUCUGGUGUUCGGGUUGUGUCGCCAGACGCAUUGCCCGGUAGCUAAGUUCGGAAUCGAUAACCGCUGAAAGCAUCUAAGCGGGAAGCGAGCCCUGAGAUGAGUCUUCCCUGAUACUUUAAGUAUCCUAAAGGGUUGUCGGAGACUACGACGUUGAUAGGUCAGGUGUGUAAGUGCUGUGAGGCAUUGAGCUAACUGAUACUAAUUGCCCGUGAGGCUUAACCAUACAACACCCAAGGGGUUU